This 441-nucleotide ribosomal RNA is filed under the name uncultured bacterium. Its description in RNAcentral is "partial 16S ribosomal RNA". It matches the Rfam family "Bacterial small subunit ribosomal RNA", at positions 338 to 795 of the family's 1533-position model. The record is from RNAcentral.
CCUACGGGAGACAGCAGUGGGGGAUAUUGCACAAUGGGGGCAACCCUGAUGCAGCGACGCCGCGUGAGCGAUGGAGUACUUCGGUAUGGAAAGCCCUGUCAGCAGGGAAGAGAAUGACGGUACCUGACCAAGAAGCCCCGGCUAAAUACGUGCCAGCAGCCGCGGCAAUAGGUAUGGGGCAAGCGUUAUCCGGAUUUACUGGGGGUAAAGGGAGCGUAGGCGGCAGGGCAAGCCUGAGGGGAAAGCCCGGGGCUCAACCCCGGGACGGCAUUGGGAACUGCCCCGCCCGAGUGCCGGAGGGGCAGGCGGAAUUCCUAGUGUAGCGGUGAAAUGCGUAGAUAUUAGGAGGAACACCAGUGGCGAAGGCGGCCUGCUGGACGGUGUACUGACGCUGAGGCUCGAAAGCGUGGGGAGCAAACAGGAUUAGAUACCCUAGUAGUC